Odocoileus virginianus texanus is the source of this 381-nucleotide long non-coding RNA. RefSeq lists it as uncharacterized. NCBI's taxonomy places the organism in Eukaryota, Metazoa, Chordata, Mammalia, Artiodactyla, Cervidae. The record is from RefSeq and is a predicted model, not a curated record.
UGCAGAGAGCAGAGAGACGCUGAGUUCUGACGCCUUGGGGAGGGCCCGGGGCCCACACCUCUGAGCCUCCCUGGCCCCGCUAGGGAUUCAGGUGCAAAAUACUUCGGAGCCUCAGCCAGAAGGAAAAGACACACAGAGGAAGCGGUGAUUGUCGACACUGAAUUAGAGAGGCCCCUUGGUGUUUGAAUUGAUUGGAAAUUCUCUCUGAAGUUGUAGCCUCCCAAGUCUUUUCAGCUCUCCUGCAUCAGCCUAGAGGUCUUGCCUUUCACCAGCACCGUUCUGUCACACGGUCAUGCUGUUGUAGCUUAUAGUAAGUCUUGACAUCAGUAAGAGUCUUCCCACUUUGUUCUUCCUUUCCAAAAUUGUUUUGUAUGUUCUGAC